This is a long non-coding RNA of Vitis riparia (riverbank grape), 198 nucleotides long. RefSeq lists it as uncharacterized. NCBI's taxonomy places the organism in Eukaryota, Viridiplantae, Streptophyta, Magnoliopsida, Vitales, Vitaceae. The record is from RefSeq and is a predicted model, not a curated record. The transcript has 3 exons.
GGCGAUUGUCUGUCGCAUGAUGAAUGGACAGCAAGCACCACCAGCGCGCACACACUAUUUUGAUCCUUCGUUCUCGGUGAUUCUGACCAACUUGAAAACAAAUGCAACCAGCCAGGUGAUCAUGGAUAGAUGUCGCAUGUAUCUGGAUGCUGGUAUAUUGGGCCAUGAUUUGGGGACAUGUGACAUGAUGUUCAUCCC